Ribosomal RNA from Ictalurus punctatus (channel catfish), 120 nucleotides. NCBI's taxonomy places the organism in Eukaryota, Metazoa, Chordata, Actinopteri, Siluriformes, Ictaluridae. The record is from Ensembl.
GCUUACAGCCAUAGCGCUCUGACAAAGCCCGAUCUCGUCUGAACUUGGAAACAAAGCAGAGUUGGGCCUGGUUAGUACUUGGAAUUUGAGAGUGCCUGGGAAUACCAGGAGCUGUAUUUA